GGGGAUUUAGCUCACUGGUAGAGUGCUUGCCUAGCAAGCACAAGGCCCUGGGUUCGGUCCCCAGCUCCG
RNAcentral lists this transfer RNA (69 nucleotides) under Rattus norvegicus (Norway rat). It matches the Rfam family "tRNA". From Rfam's summary of the family: Transfer RNA (tRNA) molecules are approximately 80 nucleotides in length. Lineage: Eukaryota; Metazoa; Chordata; Mammalia; Rodentia; Muridae. The record is from Rfam by way of RNAcentral.